Molecule: unclassified non-coding RNA, 3474 nt
Filed under: Leishmania donovani
Lineage: Eukaryota; Euglenozoa; Kinetoplastea; Trypanosomatida; Trypanosomatidae
Description: gene:LdHU3.12.0350(CDS-product:cysteinyl-tRNA_syn thetase_putative)
Source: RNAcentral
UCUUCGUGCUCGAACUGCUCACGGGCCCCGGCGUCGCCUCAUCCGUCACGGGCACCGCAGCACGCCGUCUCCCUCUCCCACACACACACACACCUCAUCCGCCGUUCUCGCUUCUCAAAGUGUUUCGCUUUCGAACCCCCGUUCAGGUGCCACCCGCAUCCCGGCACCCUCUCCGCGUGCUGCGCGCCGUCUCGGCCACCGGCUACAAGGAGCUUCCUGAAGCGCCGCUCUCGCCCACCCCAUCCGCAAUGAGCGCCAAUCGUGUUCCGACGGUAGUAGCCGGCCUCGAUGGAGCCAACCCGGUGAAGCGAGAGCGCCACCCCGCGUGGUACCCGCCCCUGAAGCUGGACGGCAACGGGCUGAAGGUGAUGAACUCCCUGACAGAGACCCUUGAGGACUUCGCGCCGCGUGAUGGCCGCGUGGUGCGAUGGUACACGUGCGGCCCGACCGUCUACGAUCUCUCUCACAUGGGCCACGCCCGUGCUUACCUCACCUUCGACAUCAUCCGCCGUGUCAUGGAAGACUACUUCGGCUACUCCGUGAUUUAUCAGAUGAACAUCACGGAUAUCGACGACAAGAUCAUCAAGCGCGCUCGCGUGAAUAAGCUGCUGGAUGACUUCAAGGAGGGGGAGCUGCGCCACGGCGACGUGGCGAGGCUCAUGGCGUUCACGGCGGAGGCCGUCACCGCCGCCGAGAGCGGCCUUGCCAAGCGCAAGGCGGCGCUGUUCGAGCCGAUUACCGAAGGCGCCAGCAGCCGCGCCAAGGCGGACCGCGAGGAGAAGUUGCUAGAGGUGCAGCUGAAGGAGUCGCAGCUUGUGGAGACCAAGGUGAAGAUCGCGGCGGCCAAGGAUGACUUUGCCGCCCUGUUCGCCGCGGCCAGCGGCGUGAACGGCGACCUGCUUGACGAGCGCAGCGGCCACAGCGUCUCCGAUCAGCAGAUCUUCGAAGACCACGCCCGAAAAUACGAGCGAGCGUUCUUCGAGGACAUGCAGCGCUUGGGCAUUCGUGAGCCGGACAUCGUGACGCGCGUCACGGAGUACGUGCCGCAGGUGGUGGAGUUCGUGCAGAAAAUCAUCGACAACGGCUUUGCCUACGUCGGCGAGACAUCUGUCUUCUUUGACACCGAGGCAUACAUCAGGGCCGGUCACGACUACCCGAAGCUGAAGCCUGGCGGCGAUCGCAACACCACGGAGGACGAGAUGGCCGAGGGCGAGGGCGUACUUUCGAAAGGCAUCGAGGGCGAGAAGCGCAGCCCGAACGACUUUGCUCUGUGGAAGUUCUCGAAGCCCGGCGAGCCGCGCUGGCCAUCCCCGUGGGGCGAGGGUCGUCCGGGCUGGCACAUCGAGUGCUCCGUGAUGGCGUCCGACAUUCUCGGCGAGAACAUGGACAUCCACAGCGGUGGGUGGGACUUGAAGUUUCCGCACCACGACAACGAGUGCGCGCAGAGCGAGGCGUGCAACCUGCACAGCCAGUGGGUGAACUACUUCCUCCACUGCGGCCAUCUCCACAUCAAGGGGCUGAAGAUGAGCAAGAGCCUCAAGAACUUCAUCACCAUCCGCCAGGCGCUGGACGAACUCGGCGUCACGGCGCGCACGAUGCGGCUGCUGUUCCUUGCAAAUCCCUGGAACAAGCCGAUGAACUUCUCGGACCAGUCGCUCGACGAGGCGAAGGAAAAGGAGCGGGUCCUGCGCGCCUUCUUCGGCAGCGUCGACAUUGUCCUCCGCACCGAUAACUGGAAGGCCACGCAGGGUGCCAACAAGCACGACCGCGAGCUGCUGUCCAAGUGGGUCGAGGCCGAGGCAGCCGUGCACGCGGCGUUGCAGGACAACUUUGACACGGUCGUUGCCCUGCAGCAGCUCAUGUCUCUCGUCGCGGCGACGAACCAGUACCUGCUGUCUGGCGAGCGGCCGAGUGCGACGCUGGUGCGCAAGGUAGGCUGCUACGUGACGAAGAUGUUCCGCAUCUUCGGCGUCGUCGAGGGGUCUGACGAUGUCGGCCUGCAGAAGCAGGGCUCCGGCGAUGGCGAAGCGCGCUUCAUCGAGGUCGUGAACACUCUCGUGCGCUUCCGUGAUGAGGUGCGCGAUGCGGCGAAAGACCACAAGGUGGUGGCGGGCUUCCUGCCCUUGUGCGACAAGGUGCGCGAUGAGUGGCUUGUCGACGCUGGCGUACGGCUCGAGGACAACCCGGCGGGCCCGACGACGUGGAAGAGCGACGAGCCGGCGCUGCUGCACAAAGAGCUGGCGGAGCGCCGCGCUCAGCAAGAAGGGGAUCGCCAGAGGAGGCUGGCGAAUCAGGCGGAGACGAAGCGCAAGCUCGUGGAAAAGUGGCGGCAGUUCACCUACCCGCCGUCCGAGUACUUUCGCCUCCAGGACGAGCAACGGGUAGAGAAGAAGUACGCUGCCUACGACGACGUCACCGGCCUCCCAACGAUGACGGCUGCCGGCGAGGAGGUGAGCGAGAAGGAGGCAAAGAAGUUGAGCAAGGAGCAGGCGAAGUACGCCAAGUCGUACGACGAGUUUAUCGGCAAGGGUGGCGUGUCGUGGCUUCAAGAGCAGGAGGCGGAGCUGGCCAGCAUGGUGGCCGAGCUCGAAGGCAGCAAUUAGGCGUCGGUGGCGAAGCGCUCACCCGUGAGCACAAACGUCUCAAGCAACGUCGAGCACAUCCAGGUAACUGGAGGGUGAUCCACCGAUGAGGGCGGCGGCAGGAGGAGAGGUGCGGGAUUAUGGAGACUCGCCUCUUUCCUCGCCUUUCAACACCUCUGCCGUCCGCGAAGCCACGCGCGUUGAGGAGGGUAAUCAUCGGUAGAGCGUGGGAGGGAAGGGCGGCAGUUGAUGGCCGGCAGCGCGCAUCUAGCGUACAAGACGUCGUCGGCGUCAUCGGCAUGGCGCGGAUUUGUUUGCCUCUCUCUCUCUGCCGCCGACGGGCGUGUCAUUUGCAGAGGAGCUGCAUCUGUUUGCCUCCCCCCUCCACACCCUAUUCUUCCACCCUUUCCCCACCGUUGUCGCACUCAGGCGCGCGCUUUAGUAGGCACGAGUGCCGCACACACGCACACGCACGCACGCCCCUCCCCGCCUCCGACGGCAACAAGACAAUGGGCAUGUAAUGCAGCAACGUGUGCUCACCCUUGGUGAGCAUUUAUCCCGCUUCUCCUGUUGUUCUGUUACUUCGGAGGGGGCGUGGAGUGUGUCUGUGUGUGUGAGAGAGAGAGCUUUCCGUGGGUCUCGCACGCCCUCGCCCCAACGGACGGAUGUGGGCCAGUCGUUAUCCUCCGCCUCUCUUCCGUGCGUGAGGGUGUCGAGAGAGGUAGGGCGCACGCGUGUCUGUCAGUGAGGGCGUGCAUGAUGUGGUGACGGGGGCUUGAGUGCAGGCGUGCACGCCCCUCAUGAGGUGGUACCUUAGUGAGAAAACAUAACAUCAAAUGGGAAAGAACAGUACCGACGAAAGCCACGUGCGCCUGUGUGCUGGAGAGGAGGA